RNAcentral lists this long non-coding RNA (5555 nucleotides) under Triticum aestivum (bread wheat). RNAcentral's name for it is "long non-coding RNA (TAES_LNC009648)". The record is from RNAcentral. Lineage: Eukaryota; Viridiplantae; Streptophyta; Magnoliopsida; Poales; Poaceae.
UUUCUUUCUCUUUCGAAAUAUAAAGGAUGAGAAUCAAUCAUGUACAGGAAAUAUAUCAUAUUCCUGUAAACUAAAUUGCUCUAAAGGAAAAUUUCAUACAGAAAUCCUAUCAUGUAGAAUUUGCUGAAAAAUUGCUGCAACAAUAGAAAUUACAAAUAAACAUAGGAUAGCAGCAUCUUUGUAUCAGUAUUCAAAGUAUCUUGUUCCGCGGUGCGCUAUGACAUGAUCAGCUGCUAAAACAAAAAUUCUCCACAAAGUCAAAAGAUACUAAACCGACAUGUAUCUUUAUCUUGGUCCAAGUGGUCCACCAUGAUGCUGUCUUCCUUUACUUCCUUGCACCAUCUUUUCCUGCAUGCCCCCACACCCACACACCCCCUGCUCUUGCCGUUGCCGUGCACGCUUCCGUCUCCUGCAGCGACACCGAUAGCCCCAAAGUUGUAAUAAGUCCCCUCGCAAGUGGCCAAAUUGUGGCCACAAAGACCUACCAGCUGAUCCCAUGAAUUGCAAUUACAUGGAGCAUAUGAACGCAAUGCCUCCUCUGUAGUUCACACGUGCCGAUUGCUGGCGCAGUGUGCAACCGCAAGGAAAGGGCGCCAUCCUCUCUUCAGAAACCAGAAGCAGGAUACAACACAAGGUAUGUGAUCCAAGCCUCCUAGAGUUGCUCUUUUGUAUUUGUGCACACCAAUACUUUGAAAAUAUCAUAGCGUGUGCACAGUUACAGAAAACACAUGUUCCGCAAUCCGCAUAAUCACUGCCAUCGACCAUCGCUCGAUACGGGCGCGAGCAGAUCCUGUGAAACAUGAAAAGAAUUUAUCAAGGACACACAUGUUCAAUAUAUAGUUAUAACAGGAAAAAAGGAAAGUUGGAACACAUGAAGUACUCGCUCCGUCAGGAAUUAGCUGAUGCUCAAAUGGAUGUAUCUAACACUGAUAUACGUCUAGAUACAUCCGUUUGAGCGUCAACUAAUUCCGGUCGGAAGAAGUAUUAUUUAAAAGAAAAAGAUCACAUAGAAGCAAGCACAAGGUCUGACUUUAUUAGAAAAUGAAUGUUUAAGCACGAGGGUAGCAAGAUAUCUUAGUUUCCGGAUGUUCUGGGAUGAUAUUGUUUAACAUACUGGAUGUGGCUUCACAUGGACAAAAAUAGACUUUUUCGUAACAAAAAAACUCAGUAAGUCCCAACAAUGAAAUUAGUGAAGCUUUGGCAAUAAGAUUAGUAGUCUUACAUUAAUCAGUUCACUGGUAUUGAGUGUAGCAUGUGGGAGUUAAUUAAAGCUGAAAUUUCUUCCAUGAUUUCCAGUGUCAUCGAUGUUCCCUGUUCUUCUGCUGCUUUUGUUGCCGUACAUACUCCAGUCGGCAUGGGCGAGAACAUUCAGUAACAUGACUGACAUGGAUACCUUGCUGGCAUUCAAGGCAAGUCUAAGCAACCAGCCAGGUGCCCUGGCUGCAUGGAACACAACUACUGAUUUCUGUUCGUGGCCAGGUGUCAGUUGCAGCCUCAAGCAUGAGCACAGGGUUACGGUGCUCAACCUCGCUUCGGAGGGUCUUGCCGGAACAAUAACACCAUCAAUUGGAAACCUCACAUUUCUGAAAAUACUAGACCUCAGCCAAAACAAUUUCCAUGGUGAAAUACCUGCAUCAAUUGGCUGUUUAUUUCGGCUACAACAUCUUAAUUUUUCCAGCAAUUCACUGGAUAGUGAUGUAAACCCGGACAUGAAGAACUGCUCCAGUCUUGAGAGCAUCGAUCUUGAUUUAAAUUUGCUCACCGGAGAAAUCCCUGCAUGGCUUGGAGGCUUGCCAAAUCUGAAGACCAUACAAUUGUAUAGGAACAACUUCACUGGGAUAAUCCCGCCAUCAAUUACCAACCUCUCAGCACUGCAAACAAUCGACUUCACCGCAAACCAACUCGAAGGUGUCAUCCCGGAGGGCCUUGGCAAGAUGACUAGUCUCUCCUCCAUUCAACUGAGUGAAAACCACCUCUCAGGCACUAUCCCUGCAGCUUUCUUUAACCUUUCCUCUCUAACCGUCUUCGCUGUGGCGGCAAAUAAGUUGCAUGGUAAACUGCCCUCGGACUUGGGGGUUCACCUCCCAAAUCUCAGGGCCCUACUCCUUGGCACCAAUAGGUUUACGGGAUACCUUCCAGCUUCUCUUGUAAAUGCAACUAAGAUUAAUAAACUAGACAUGUCGUUCAAUGGCUUCACCGGUAGAUUACCUCCGGAGAUUGGAAUGCUCUGCCCAAACUACCUCAGUGUUGCGGAAAAUCAGAUCAUGGCAAGUACUGCACAGGACUGGGAGUUCAUGACCUUGUUGACAAACUGCACACGCCUUCGUGUAUUAAAGCUUGAGGGAAACAUGCUAGGUGGCGUGUUGCCAAGCUCUGUUGGCAACCUAUCAGCACAACUUCAAGUACUUUAUGUUGGAUAUAAUAUGAUUUCUGGAACAAUACCAUUUGGCAUAAGCAAUCUUAUCAGACUAAAUUAUUUAACACUCUCUCACAACCAAUUUACUGGUGUCUUGCCUGAAAGCAUGGGAAGGCUAAAUUUGCUACAAGCCUUGUUUAUGCAUGAUAAUAUGUUGACAGGGUUCAUUCCAUCCUCCCUUGGGAACAUGACACAGCUACUAAGUCUUGGCGCAUGGAGUAACAAGUUUGAGGGGCCUCUUCCAGCAAGCUUAGGGAGCCUCAAGGAGAUAACUGGAAUCGACUUAUCAUAUAAUAAGUUCACAGGUCCAUUGCCUAAAGAGAUCUUUAACCUAUCGUCCCUGUCGAACACACUAGAUUUGGUAGGCAAUUACUUUGCUGGUCCUCUUCCACCUGAAAUUGGCGGUCUGACAGCACUUGCAAACUUGUACCUCUCUCAGAACAACUUAUCUGGGACACUGCCCAAUGAACUCAGCAAUUGUCAAAGUUUGGUAACACUCUUGUUGGACCAUAACUCCUUUAGUGGUACUAUUCCCUCAUCUAUCAGCAAAAUGCGAGGCUUGGCAUUUCUAAAUCUUACCAAGAACACACUCUCCGGUGAGAUUCCUCAAGAAUUCAGACUCAUGGGAGGGAUUCAAGAGUUGUAUCUUGCACACAACAACUUGUCUGGUCAUAUUGCUGAAAGCUUGGAAAACAUGGCAUCAUUGUACCAAUUAGACUUGUCCUUCAAUAAUCUGGAUGGCGAAGUUCCAUCGCAGGGUGUGUUUAGUAAUGUGACUGGAUUUCUAUUUGAAGGGAAUUCAGGGCUUUGUGGUGGUAUUUCAGAAUUACAUUUGCCCCCAUGCCUGCCAGAAUCAAUGGAACACACCAUGAGAAAACGCAAUUUGAUUAUCACAAUAGCUACCCCAAUUGCUGGCAUAAUUCUAUGCUUGUGUGUGGUGCUUGUUUUCUUCACAAUAAGAAAGAAAUCAAAAGAUCGGUCCAAAACCAUGGGAGGAUUUCAACUUAUGGAUGACAAUUAUCCUAGAGUUACUUAUGCUGAAUUGGUCCAAGGAACAAGUGGCUUUGCUACAGACAAUUUGAUUGGUAGAGGACGAUAUGGAUCAGUGUAUAAGUGUAGUUUGCUGCUAAACACCAUGAUGACCACAGUAGCUGUGAAGGUGUUUGAUCUUCAGCAGUCUGGAUCUUCCAAAAGCUUUCUAGCUGAAUGUGAGGCACUUGGUAGGAUCCGCCAUCGAAAUUUGAUUAGUGUCAUAACUUGCUGCUCAAGCUCUGACUCAGACCAAAACGACUUCAAGGCCCUUGUGUUGGAGUUCAUGCCUAAUGGGAGCCUGGAUAGGUGGUUACACAUUGAUGUACAUGCAUCACAGCAACUGCAAGGUUUGACAUUGAUGCAGAGAUUAAAUAUUGCAGUUGAUAUCGCUGAUGCAUUAGAUUAUUUGCACAACAACUGUGAACCACCAAUAAUUCACUGUGACUUGAAGCCAAGCAACAUUCUUCUUAACGAGGAUUUAGUUGCGCACAUUGGGGACUUCGGCCUUGCAAAGAUUCUUUCUGAACCAGCAGCGGAGCAGCUGAUUAAUUCAAAGAGCUCCAUUGGAAUAAGAGGAACGAUUGGAUAUGUAGCUCCAGGUAGCUCAAAUUUUCUAACAUUACAUUCCACAACAUACAUUUUUGCAUGCAAAAUGACUAUAUUUGUCUACGAUAUGUAGAGUAUGGCGAAGGUGGUCAAGUUUCUUCAUGUGGAGAUGUAUAUAGCUUCGGAACUGUCAUCCUCGAGUUGUUUACAGGCAUGGCACCAACUCAUGAUAUGCUCAGAGACGGGUUAACCUUGCAUAAGCAUGCCGAGAAUGCAUUUACAGGGAUGCUAAUGCAGAUUGUUGAUCCAGUACUACUUUCCAUUGAAGAAGCCAAUCUGACUAGUCUGCAGGAUGGAAGCAACACAAUGGAACAUGGCAGCAAUGCCAUAUUGUCUGUCAUGAAGGUUGCGCUAUCAUGCAGCAACCAUGCACCAACAGAGAGGAUGUGCAUGAGAGAUGCUGCUGCUGCGAUUCGCAGGAUAACGGAUAGCUAUGUUAAAAAUAAGACAAACUGAGGAAGUUGUUGCAACUGCAUAUAACACAAAGCAUUUUGCUGAAACAAGAUCAGCACCUGAAACAUCCAGGUCAGCCCCCCUGAAGUGGCGUCAUGCUUAAUUUGCUUUGUAGUGGUUAUGUUUUGCAUUCCAAGUGUGGUGUUGUAUAUGUUAGUUUCUGCCUAGCCAUUAUCUUUUAGUUACAUACAUAUGUAAUUUGUUCAGAGAGGUCCAACGAGUGUUGAAGGCCUUAGCCUAGGCCAAGUCGGGCUUCCGAGCCUACUCUCUAAAAAGCAUAGUUUUAAAUAGCCGGCUAUAGCCCCGCUAUAGCUGUUUGAGGGUGUUGCCGCUAAAUGAUUUCAUGUACAAUUUGCCACUAUAGCUCCGCUAUAGCCUACUAUAGCCCAGCUAUAGCUGUUUUUAAGGGUCGCCGCUAAAUGCCAUAGCCCGCUAUUUAAAGAGUUGUGUAAAUGGAAGGCGGAUACAAGUCGCAUCUGGGUUGAGUUUGAAUAAGACAUUAUAUCUCAUCAGAUUUUAAAUUGGUGUUGUAUUGCAUUUGAGUUGGGAUGUAUCGGACCCGUCCGAUGUUGUUCUUGACUAGUUUUUCUAGUGGAACUUGUUCUAUCUAACUGUGUUUAAUCUUCUGAUGUAUGACGCGCAAAGCUUUUGUGUGUUUACAAAAAAAAGGGGGGGGGGGGAUUCAAUAUGCAUAUCUUCUAUUCUACAAAAAAAAAGAUGGAGAAAGGAUAUUCAAUACUCACCAUACUUCAGGAGGUCAUCACAACACCAUCUCAAGUGCAAUGCCAGUCUGGUCCGGGUGGCGCUUGCUCCGGUCGUGAAGGCACUUCAGACUUCAAGGUUAGGAACCCCACAUGCACUACCUGGCAUAUAAUUAAGACAGAGACUAUAAGCAUCAUAUUCGGGAUUAUUUUCCAACGUCUAUCAGUGGGGCUAAUGUAACUUCUCCGUACAAGUUCCGAGGCAUUCAUGGUUAUGCAACACCCUGUGCGCACAUAAAUACCAUACCAGCCUCCAUCUUCCGUCCUUAACAGGCUUAGCAUCGCAG